Molecule: small nuclear RNA, 183 nt
Filed under: Triticum aestivum (bread wheat)
Lineage: Eukaryota; Viridiplantae; Streptophyta; Magnoliopsida; Poales; Poaceae
Also listed under: 2 other names
Description: snRNA U2
Rfam family: U2 spliceosomal RNA
About the family: U2 is a small nuclear RNA (snRNA) component of the spliceosome (involved in pre-mRNA splicing). Complementary binding between U2 snRNA (in an area lying towards the 5' end but 3' to hairpin I) and the branchpoint sequence (BPS) of the intron results the bulging out of an unpaired adenosine, on the BPS, which initiates a nucleophilic attack at the intronic 5' splice site, thus starting the first of two transesterification reactions that mediate splicing.
Source: Rfam by way of RNAcentral
AUACCUUUCUCGGCCUUUUGGCUAAGAUCAAGUGUAGUAUCUGUUCUUAUCAGUUUAAUAUUUGAUAUGUGGGCCAUGUGCCCACAACGAUAUUAAAUUUAUUUUUUACGGGGGAGGGUCCACCACAGUGGCUUGCCAUUGGGGCCCUCAGGUGUUGCAACAGGCCAGGCAGGCGCACCCCAA